Molecule: long non-coding RNA, 503 nt
Organism: Drosophila innubila
Lineage: Eukaryota; Metazoa; Arthropoda; Insecta; Diptera; Drosophilidae
Exons: 2
Source: RefSeq, a predicted model, not a curated record
GUGAAAGAUUUGUACAGAUACUUAUUAUAAUAAUUAAAAUGUCCAAGUCACCGUCAUAUUCAAUCAAGGUUAUACCCUGGUGGAAACCGAGCCGCAAGACAAGGAUCGGAAAUUUUAUUUUUCAAAUUGUGUCCUUUUUUUAUCCGCCUUCUAAAAUACGCGGUGCUCGAGUCGUGUAUGAAGCAGACGACCCGGAGCCAGACCCAUUAAAUUUGUUACUAACACUAGGCUCCUUUUUGAUCCCCAUUUUCUGCAUUGUGAUUUACCGGAUCUACAAAAGGCACUAUCGAAGGAUAAUAGAAUGGACAGUGAAGCACAACAAAUUCCAAAAUUAAAUGGAAACAGAUCUGAAGAAAGUUAAGAGAGCAAGAGGAAUGAUUCCUUUGAUUUUAAAAUUAUCUUUUGAGCAUUUGUAAACCAUUUCAUUUAAGCUCUCCCCCAUUUCCAUCUCGGGCAUUUGCGCAAUAAAAUGAAUUGAGCUUCAGUUUUAUGAACGACAAUCA